RNAcentral lists this long non-coding RNA (1833 nucleotides) under Ficedula albicollis (Collared flycatcher). Its description in RNAcentral is "lncRNA (ENSFALG00000015002.2)". Lineage: Eukaryota; Metazoa; Chordata; Aves; Passeriformes; Muscicapidae. The record is from RNAcentral.
AUGAGGCCUCCAAAUUUCCCUGGGCAGCCCCUUCCAAUGCCAGAACGCCCUUUCCACGAAGAAAUUCCUCCUGAAAUGCAACCCGAGUUUGGGACCACAUGCCCUUGUCCCAUCAAUGGCUGCUUGGGAGACCGACCCUCACCUGGUCUACAAAUCCCCGCAUUCCGCCCCUCGCGUUCCCCUCUGCGCUCCCGCUCCUGCCGCCCUGCUUCUCCUCAGCGCUGCCCCCGCUCCCCUCUGCGCUCCCGCUCCUGCCGCCCUGCUUCUCCUCAGCGCUGCCCCCGCUCCCCUCUGCGCUCCCGCUCCUGCCGCCCUGCUUCUCCUCAGCGCUGCCCCCGCUCCCCUCUGCGCUCCCGCUCCUGCCGCCCUGCUUCUCCUCAGCGCUGCCCCCGCUCCCCUCUGCGCUCCCGCUCCUGCCGCCCUGCUUCUCCUCAGCGCUGCCCCCGCUCCCCUCUGCGCUCCCGCUCCUGCCGCCCUGCUUCUCCUCAGCGCUGCCCCCGCUCCCCUCUGCGCUCCCGCUCCUGCCGCCCUGCUUCUCCUCAGCGCUGCCCCCGCUCCCCUCUGCGCUCCCGCUCCUGCCGCCCUGCUUCUCCUCAGCGCUGCCCCCGCUCCCCUCUGCGCUCCCGCUCCUGCCGCCCUGCUUCUCCUCAGCGCUGCCCCCGCUCCCCUCUGCGCUCCCGCUCCUGCCGCCCUGCUUCUCCUCAGCGCUGCCCCCGCUCCCCUCUGCGCUCCCGCUCCUGCCGCCCUGCUUCUCCUCAGCGCUGCCCCCGCUCCCCUCUGCGCUCCCGCUCCUGCCGCCCUGCUUCUCCUCAGCGCUGCCCCCGCUCCCCUCUGCGCUCCCGCUCCUGCCGCCCUGCUUCUCCUCAGCGCUGCCCCCGCUCCCCUCUGCGCUCCCGCUCCUGCCGCCCUGCUUCUCCUCAGCGCUGCCCCCGCUCCCCUCUGCGCUCCCGCUCCUGCCGCCCUGCUUCUCCUCAGCGCUGCCCCCGCUCCCCUCUGCGCUCCCGCUCCUGCCGCCCUGCUUCUCCUCAGCGCUGCCCCCGCUCCCCUCUGCGCUCCCGCUCCUGCCGCCCUGCUUCUCCUCAGCGCUGCCCCCGCUCCCCUCUGCGCUCCCGCUCCUGCCGCCCUGCUUCUCCUCAGCGCUGCCCCCGCUCCCCUCUGCGCUCCCGCUCCUGCCGCCCUGCUUCUCCUCAGCGCUGCCCCCGCUCCCCUCUGCGCUCCCGCUCCUGCCGCCCUGCUUCUCCUCAGCGCUGCCCCCGCUCCCCUCUGCGCUCCCGCUCCUGCCGCCCUGCUUCUCCUCAGCGCUGCCCCCGCUCCCCUCUGCGCUCCCGCUCCUGCCGCCCUGCUUCUCCUCAGCGCUGCCCCCGCUCCCCUCUGCGCUCCCGCUCCUGCCGCCCUGCUUCUCCUCAGCGCUGCCCCCGCUCCCCUCUGCGCUCCCGCUCCUGCCGCCCUGCUUCUCCUCAGCGCUGCCCCCGCUCCCCUCUGCGCUCCCGCUCCUGCCGCCCUGCUUCUCCUCAGCGCUGCCCCCGCUCCCCUCUGCGCUCCCGCUCCUGCCGCCCUGCUUCUCCUCAGCGCUGCCCCCGCUCCCCUCUGCGCUCCCGCUCCUGCCGCCCUGCUUCUCCUCAGCGCUGCCCCCGCUCCCCUCUGCGCUCCCGCUCCUGCCGCCCUGCUUCUCCUCAGCGCUGCCCCCGCUCCCCUCUGCGCUCCCGCUCCUGCCGCCCUGCUUCUCCUCAGCGCUGCCCCCGCUCCCCUCUGCGCUCCCGCUCCUGCCGCCCUCUGGUUCCACGCCGGUGUGGAGGGUGGGGGAGGCGGCAGGCCUCUAAAGAACGCCUUUAA